This is a regulatory RNA element of Ruminococcus sp. CAG:57, 134 nucleotides long. It matches the Rfam family "Ribosomal protein L10 leader". From Rfam's summary of the family: This family is a putative r-protein leader autoregulatory structure found in B. subtilis and other low-GC Gram-positive bacteria. It is located in the 5' untranslated regions of mRNAs encoding ribosomal proteins L10 and L12 (rplJ-rplL). NCBI's taxonomy places the organism in Bacteria, Bacillati, Bacillota, Clostridia, Eubacteriales, Oscillospiraceae. The record is from Rfam.
AUAUUAGAGCAUUCGUAUCUAAAGACAGUUGGCAGCAGGAAGCUGCGGAAGUCCAGCCGAGGAAAGGAAUAGCAAAGUAAUUAUGACUUUGUAUCUCUUUUGUCUUGCGACGAAAGGGAUUUUUCUUUUGUUAG